Molecule: ribosomal RNA, 148 nt
Filed under: uncultured bacterium
Lineage: Bacteria
Description: partial 16S ribosomal RNA
Rfam family: Bacterial small subunit ribosomal RNA
Source: RNAcentral
GCAUACUGCCGUGAAUACGUUCCCGGGCCUUGUACACACCGCCCGUCACACCAUGAGAGUUGGGAAUACCCGAAGCCUGUGAGCUAACUAUACGAGGCAGCAGUCGAAGGUAGAAUCAAUGAUUGGGGUGAAGUCGUAACAAGGUAGC